GUUGAACGCUGGCGGCAUGCCUAACACAUGCAAGUCGAACGGCAGCACAGUAAAGACUUCGGUCUUUAUGGGUGGCGAGUGGCGGACGGGUGAGUAACGCGUAGGAAUCUGUCCUGGAGAGUGGGAUAACCCGAGGAUACUCGGGCUAAUACCGCAUGAUAUCGAGAGAUCAAAGGCAGGGGACCCUUCGGGGCCUUGCGCUCUAGGUUGAGCCUACGUCGGAUUAGCUAGUUGGUGGGGUAAAGGCCUACCAAGGCGAGGUUCCGGAGCUGGUCUGGGAGGAUGACCAGCAACAUUGGGCCUGGGACACGGCCCAGACUCCUAUGGGAGGCAGCAGUGGGGAAUCUUGGACAAUGGGGGAAACCCUGAUCCAGCGAUGCCGCGUGUGUGAAGAAGGCCUUCGGGUUGUAAAGCACUUUAGGUGGGGAAGAAAGGUAAUGAGUGAAUAACUGAUUGCUUUGACGGUACCCGCAGAAUAAGCACCGGCUAACUCUGUGCCAGCCGCCGCCGUAA
This 513-nucleotide ribosomal RNA is filed under the name uncultured bacterium. RNAcentral describes it as "partial 16S ribosomal RNA". It matches the Rfam family "Bacterial small subunit ribosomal RNA", at positions 28 to 523 of the family's 1533-position model. The record is from RNAcentral.